UAAAGCGUGCGCAGCGGUUAUGCAAGACAGAUGUGAAAUCCCCGGGCUCAACCUGGGAACUGCAUUUGUGACUGCAUAGCUAGAGUACGGUAGAGGGGGAUGGAAUUCCGCGUGUAGCAGUGAAAUGCGUAGAUAUGCGGAGGAACACCGAUGGCGAAGGCAAUCCCCUGGACCUGUACUGACGCUCAUGCACGAAAGCGUGGGGAGCAAACAGGAUUAGAUACCCUGGU
This 230-nucleotide ribosomal RNA is filed under the name uncultured bacterium. Its description in RNAcentral is "partial 16S ribosomal RNA". It matches the Rfam family "Bacterial small subunit ribosomal RNA", at positions 561 to 791 of the family's 1533-position model. The record is from RNAcentral.